UACAGAGGUCUCGAGCGUUAGGCGGAAUCACUGGGCUUAAAGCGUGUGUAGGCGGAUCGUUAAGUACCUUGUGAAAUCCCACGGCUUAACCGUGGAAUUGCUGGGUAUACUGGCGGUCUUGAGCCACUUAGGGGCUACCGGAACAAAUGGUGGAGCGGUGAAAUGCGUAGAUAUCAGGAGGAACACCUGUGGUGUAGACAGCUUACUGGACCACUUCUGACGCUGAGACACGAAAGCGUGGGUAGCAAACAGG
RNAcentral lists this ribosomal RNA (253 nucleotides) under uncultured bacterium. RNAcentral's name for it is "partial 16S ribosomal RNA". It matches the Rfam family "Bacterial small subunit ribosomal RNA", at positions 524 to 776 of the family's 1533-position model. The record is from RNAcentral.